Molecule: ribosomal RNA, 652 nt
Filed under: Escherichia coli
Lineage: Bacteria; Pseudomonadati; Pseudomonadota; Gammaproteobacteria; Enterobacterales; Enterobacteriaceae
Description: partial 23S ribosomal RNA
Rfam family: Bacterial large subunit ribosomal RNA
Source: RNAcentral
CUUUGAAGUGUGGACGCCAGUCUGCAUGGAGCCGACCUUGAAAUACCACCCUUUAAUGUUUGAUGUUCUAACGUUGGCCCGUAAUCCGGGUUGCGGACAGUGUCUGGUGGGUAGUUUGACUGGGGCGGUCUCCUCCUAAAGAGUAACGGAGGAGCACGAAGGUUGGCUAAUCCUGGUCGGACAUCAGGAGGUUAGUGCAAUGGCAUAAGCCAGCUUGACUGCGAGCGUGACGGCGCGAGCAGGUGCGAAAGCAGGUCAUAGUGAUCCGGUGGUUCUGAAUGGAAGGGCCAUCGCUCAACGGAUAAAAGGUACUCCGGGGAUAACAGGCUGAUACCGCCCAAGAGUUCAUAUCGACGGCGGUGUUUGGCACCUCGAUGUCGGCUCAUCACAUCCUGGGGCUGAAGUAGGUCCCAAGGGUAUGGCUGUUCGCCAUUUAAAGUGGUACGCGAGCUGGGUUUAGAACGUCGUGAGACAGUUCGGUCCCUAUCUGCCGUGGGCGCUGGAGAACUGAGGGGGGCUGCUCCUAGUACGAGAGGACCGGAGUGGACGCAUCACUGGUGUUCGGGUUGUCAUGCCAAUGGCACUGCCCGGUAGCUAAAUGCGGAAGAGAUAAGUGCUGAAAGCAUCUAAGCACGAAACUUGCCCCGAGAUG